AUUUAGUGUCUUGUUGGGUUUAAAAAUAAUAUUUAUUUAUAAAUGAAAAAUAAUUUCGGAUAGGAGAAAGUAGUUUUUAAUGAAAUGUGUGUGUAACUAUAGUUGAAAGUACUGUAAGGGAAAGAAAAAAUGGAAUAAAGUAUUAAAGAAAAAAUUAAGUUUUGUACCUUGUGUACAAGGGAGAAUCUAUAUGGUUAAAAUAAUAUUUUAAAAUCUCGAAAGAAAAAUAGUUAAUUUUAUAACAGAGUUUUUGUAGGAUAAAAAUUUUUAAUAUAAAGUUAAAGAUGAAAUGUUAAACGAGUUUUGUAAUAUCUAGUUUUUUAAAAAGAAAAUUAAAUUUGAUUUAUAUUAUUGCGGAAAAAAAUAUAAAUAUAAAAUAGAAAGGGUAAGCUUUUUAUUGGUAAAUGGAAUAGCAAGAAAUAUGAGUUUUAUAAAUGAUCUAAGCUUAAAAGUAGCUAAGUUUUUAAAGUGUUUUAAUUAAAUUAACAAAAGAAUAUAAAUUACUGCUUUUCUUAAAUAUUAAAAAUUUAUUAAAACCAGAGAAUAAUAAGAUAAAAUGAUUUUAUUAGUAGAAAAUUAAUUAUAAAAUAAAUAAAAGAUUGAUUAAGAAAUUUUUAAAAAAUAUUAAGGUAUAUUAAAGGAAUUCGGUAAAUUGUUUUCUUGCCUGUUUAUCAAAAACAUGUCUAUUUGAAGUUAUAAAAAGUCUAGCCUGCCCGCUGAUUAAAGUAUAAUAAUUUAAAGGCCGCGGUAUUAUGACCGUGCAAAGGUAGCAUAAUCAUUAGGUUUUUAAAUGAGAUCUUGUAUGAAAGGUUUGACAAAGGAAAAGCUGUCUUUGAAAUAAAUAUUAAAUUUUACUUUUAAGUGAAAAGGCUUAAAUAUUUUAGGGGGACGAUAAGACCCUAUAAAACUUUACAUUAUGGUUAUAUUAGGUUAAAUUUGUAAUAAUAAAAAUUUAGUAUAGUUAUUUGUUUUGUUGGGGAGACAUAAGUAAAAAUUAUACUAGCUGCUUAUAAAUUAAACAUUUAUUGAUGUGUAAGAAUUUAUAGAUCCUGUUAUAUAUAGAUUAAAAGAUUAAGUUACUUUAGGGAUAACAGUGUAAUUUUUUUUAAGAGUUCAUAUCGAAAAAAAAGUUUGCAACCUCGAUGUUGAAUUAAAAUAUCUUUAUAAUGUAGCUGUUAUAUUAGAGGGUCUG
RNAcentral lists this ribosomal RNA (1192 nucleotides) under Ceylonthelphusa armata. RNAcentral describes it as "partial 16S ribosomal RNA". Lineage: Eukaryota; Metazoa; Arthropoda; Malacostraca; Decapoda; Parathelphusidae. The record is from RNAcentral.